This 661-nucleotide ribosomal RNA is filed under the name Linnemannia elongata. Its description in RNAcentral is "eukaryotic LSU rRNA". It matches the Rfam family "Eukaryotic large subunit ribosomal RNA", at positions 92 to 631 of the family's 3401-position model. The record is from RNAcentral. Lineage: Eukaryota; Fungi; Mortierellomycota; Mortierellomycetes; Mortierellales; Mortierellaceae.
AGUGAAGCGGGAUGAGCUCAAAUUUAAAAUCUGGCUGGUUUACUAGUCCGAAUUGUAGUUUAUAGAAGCGUUUUCGGUGGCAGCCUGGGUAUAAAUCCUUUGGAAUAGGGUAUCAUAGAGGGUGAGAAUCCCGUCUUUGACUCAGUGCAUGCUACUAUGUGAUACGUUUUCAAAGAGUCGAGUUGUUUGGGAAUGCAGCUCAAAAUGGGUGGUAAAUUUCAUCUAAAGCUAAAUAUUGGCGAGAGACCGAUAGCGAACAAGUACCGUGAGGGAAAGAUGAAAAGAACUUUGAAAAGAGAGUUAAACAGUGCGUGAAAUUGUUGAAAGGGAAACGUUUGACACCAGUUAUGCGGGUGGAAAAUCAGUCUUUUGCAAUGGGGAGUUGUGGGCGUUCAGACCGCAAGGCUGGCGUUUGCUUCAUCUUUGUUGUAAGUGAUGCACUUUUUCAUUUGCAGGUCAACAUCAGUUUGCUUUGCUGGACAAAACCCCAAGGGAAGGUGGCAGCUUAGGCUGUGUUAUAGCCCUGGGGCGAUACAGUGGAGUGGACUGAGGUUUCGCAGUGUGUGCUCUCGGGCAAGGCUGACUGGGUGCUAUGGGAUCGUUCGGCGUACAAUGCAUGCAUUUUGCGUCGUGUCUUUUUUAUACUCGCUCAACUCGGCUC